Antechinus flavipes (yellow-footed antechinus) is the source of this 8954-nucleotide long non-coding RNA. RefSeq lists it as uncharacterized. The transcript has 2 exons. The record is from RefSeq and is a predicted model, not a curated record. NCBI's taxonomy places the organism in Eukaryota, Metazoa, Chordata, Mammalia, Dasyuromorphia, Dasyuridae.
CUCGUUUCUGUUCUGAUUUUUUCCCUUCCCUUCCUCCACCCCCUCCCCUAGAUGGCAAGCAAUCUUACAUAUGUUAGAUAUGUUGCAGUAUAUCCUAGAUACAAUAUAUGUUUGCAGAACUGAACAGUUCUCUUGUUGCACAGGGAGAAUUGGAUUCAGAAGGUAAAAAUAACCCGGGAAGAAAAACAAAAAUGCAGAUAGUUCACAUUCGUUUCCCAUUGUUCUUUCUUUGGGUGUAGCUGCUUCUGACCAUCAUUUAUCAAUUGAAACUCAGGUCUCUUUGUCAAAGAAAUCCACUUCCAUCAGAAUAUGUCCUCAUACAAUAUCGUUGUCGAAGUGUAUAAUGAUCUCCUGGUUCUGCUCAUUUCACUUAGCAUCAGUUCAUAUAAGUCUCGCCAGUCCUCUCUGUAUUUGUCCUGCUGGUCAUUUCUUACAGAACCAUAAUAUUCCAUAACGUUCAUAUACCACAAUUUACCCAGCCAUUCUCCAAUUGAUGGGCAGCCAUUCAUUUUCCAGUUUCUAGCCUAAGUAUGUAGUUUCUAUUUGAGUUUGAUGCCACUGUUCUAGCCACAUCCCACUUCUGACCUUAAUUCUGCCAAAGAUAUCACCCAUCUUCUAGCCUCACCUAGGUUUGUAACCCAAAAAUUAUUCUUACUUUUCACUAUCACUCAUACUCACCUUAUGUUUAAUCAAUUGCAAAGACUUAUAAAUUCUAACUCCUCAACAUCUUUCUCAUCUGUCCUUUACAUCCUACUUAUAUAAAAAUUACCCUGGUUCAGACCCCCUCUUACCUUGAUUAUUAUGAUAAUUUCCUAAUUUAAUUUCAAUUUAAUAAUUAUUUUAUUUUAUUUAACAAUAGCUUUAUAUUUUCAAAAUGCAUGCACUCAUCUUUCAACACUCAUCUCUGCAAAACCUUGUGUUCCAAAAUUUUCUCCCUCCCUUCUCUCCAAUCCUUCCUCCAGACAGUAAGUAAUCCAAUUUAGGUUAAACAUGUGCAAUUCUUCCAAAUUUAUACAAUAAUCUCCUAAUUGGUCCUCUUACAUUCAUUCUCUCCCCUCUUUCACAUCGUUGUCAAAACAAUAUUCCUAAAAUAUCAAUUUAAAUUGUUCUCUCCAUCUUCAAGAAACUUCAUUGGAUCUCUAGUGCCUCUUGGAACCUUUAGGAUAAAAUGAAAUCUUUGUUUUGUGGUCACCUAAAUCCUGUUCUGACUUAACUUUAAAUUAGCUGUUAAUUGUCAGGAAGGAUUUGAACUCAGGUAGAUAAAUCUUCCUGACUCUAGACCCAGGAUGUUAGUCACUAUGGUACCACCUAGAUUCCCAGGAUAAUAUAAGAGGAUACAUAUUUUCAUUCCAGUGGAGAGGAUGCCCGUUCUAGAGAAAACAUCUUAGUGCAAGGACUAAAAAGUAACCAACAUAUAAAAAAAAAAAAAGUCUGACAAAUAUGCAGUAUUCUUCCAUGUCUGUAAUUUCCCACCUCUGCAAAGAAUUGGGAAAGUUAUCAUCUCAUAUAUCUUUUUCGUUCAUUAUAACUUCAGAGCAUUUGACUUUAAUUUGCUCAUGGUGUUCUUUCUACAUUGUGGCAGUCGUUUUGUAUAGUCUUUUCACUUUGCAUCAGUUUAUGUCUUUCCAUGCUUCCCCAUAUUCAUUGUCUCCAUCACUUUCUAAAGCAUAACAACACUAUUAGAUUCACACACCACAAUUUGCUUAACCAUUCUCCAAAUAGUGAACACUUACUUUGUUUCCAGUUUUUUGGCUACCCUGAAAAUGCUACAACGAAUAGGAUGUGCCUAUUUGUGUGGUAAACCCCGGUGUUUGAUCAUUUUGUGCAGAAACACUGUUUCUGAAAGGAGUUACUCUGCAUAUUGGUGCCUCUGGAGGGUAACUGGUGUCUCCCUUAGAUUGUAAAUCCCUUAAAGACAGGGUUUCUCUGUGUCCUCAGCACUUAGCCCAGGGCCUGGCAUUUCUUCCUAGUCCAGAUUCUUUUCACCUUCAUCUGAUAGAAUGUUGAGUUUGAAUUGAAGAUCAGCUCGGGUACCACCUUCCAAAGUCAUUUUCUGAACCCUCCAGUCAUGAGGACUCUCUUCUUUUUGAAAUUACUUUGUAUUUCUUUAUGUGUGUGUGUGUGUGUGUGUGUAUGUAUACAUAUACAUAUAUAAUAUAUAAUAUAAUAAUAUAUAUUGUACCCUGCCACCUGCAUUAUAUCCUCCUAAGUGGACUAUGCUCAUUAAGAGGGACAUUUUUACCUCUGUUUUUGCUACAUUAAGAAUAAUAACAUGAUAGCUAACAUUUAUAUGAUGCUCUUCUAGACCAAUUUGCAAUUAUUGUCUAAUUUAAUUAUCACAACAAUGCUAAAAAAAAAUAGGUGCCAUUAUUAUCCCUGUUUCACAGAUGGGGAAACAGUGGCAAAUAGAAAUUAUGAUCUUUCCAGAGUCGCACAGCAAGUAAGUUUCUGAGGCAAUAUUUGAACUCAAGUCUUUUUGAUUCCAGAUUUGGCAUUCUGAUAUUGGACUACCUAGCCUCAGUCCCAGAACCUGGCACAGAGCCUUUCAUGUAGUGUAUGUUCUUAGUAUUUAAUGUUUGUUGAAUUGAUUAUUGAAAUGGCCUCCUACCUGCUAUUUCUGUUUUCAGCCUUACCUUUCACUAACCCACCCUUCACAUCUAUGAAGUAUCUUCAGGGAUAUAUACAUUUUGCUAUAUUAUACCUUUGCUCAAAAAGCUAUCAUUGCAUCCUAUUGCUUAUUGAAUAAAAUCUAAUUUUUUUUACUGUUAUAUUGUUUUUUCCAAUGCCAUGUAAAGGAAAAUUUUAACAUUUGUAUUUUUUAAAAUUUUGAUUUCAAAAAUCUCUCCUUUCCUUCCUCCCAAAUCUUUCUUAAAAUGGCAGAUAAUCUGAAAUACAUUAUAUACAUGCAGUCAUAUAAAACAUAUUUCCACAUUAGUCCUAUUGUGAAAGAAAAGAUAGACCAAAAAAGUAUCCCCAAACAAAAACACUAACCAAUGCAUAAAAAUGAGGUGAAAAAUAUGUUUUGAUCUGCUUUCUGACUUCAUCAGUUUUUUUUUUUUGAGUGGAUAAUGUUUUUUCAUCGAGUCAUUUGAGAUUGUCUUGGAUCAUUGUAUUGAUGAGAAGAGGUAAGUUAUCUGCCAUUGAUCAUUGUAAAAUAUUGUAUUACUGUUUGAAAUGUUUUGGUUCUGCUUACUUCAUAAAAUCUAAAUUCUUUCACCUGGUAUUUGAAUCUCUUUUUUUCUCCAACUCAAUUUCAAUUUAUACCUCUUCAGGAAUUGUGAAUGUCAGUGUGCCCUCUCCAUCACUCUGCUUUCAGAUUGAUCCUGGUCUUGUGCCUUAGAAUGGAUUCCUUUCUGUUCCCUGUCUCUGCCACAUGAAACCUUUGCUUUUUCUUAAGGUCUCACUCAGGGCUUGCCUUUUCCAUGAAGUCUGGCAGUUAGGUAGAACAGAGAAUAGAGUGCUAGGUUUGGAGUCCAGAAGACCCAAAUUCAAGUUUGCUUCAGACACAUAUGCCUCAAUUUCCUCACCUGGAAAAUGAAAUAAUAAAAGAGUUGUGAUGAUAUUUACCAGCUUUAAAACAUUAUAUAAGUGCUAGCUAUUAUUAUUUUUCAUACAAGGUCCUCCCAGAUCACCUCCAAUUAUCAUGUUUUAAUUUUUUUGAGUUGUUAUUUGCAUAGAAGUAUUUUCUUCUCUCCUCCCGUCCCCCCCAAAUCUAUAUGAAGAUAGGAACUGUGGUUUAUUUUAUCUUUGCAUUUUCAGGCUAGUAGAAUAUUCCCCACAUAGUAGGUAAUAAAUAUAUAAAAAGUGUUCCAAAAGUCUUAAUGCAGCUUAAAACUUUUAUUGACUUUAAAAAAAAAAAAAACAUGCUGCAAUAAGACUUUUAGGAUAUCGUAUUUAUUGAAUUGCUUUCAUGAUAAAAUAAUACAAUUAUGAAAUUAUGAUGAGGGGAGUGCAAAAUAAGUCCUAAUAAAUAAGGAAUUAAUCUUUCCUUGUCAUGACUUUAUUUAGAAGAAGAGCAAAUAUUCUGAAUUUUAAAGAUAUAUAGGAGGGGAAGCUAGAUGGUGUAGUGAAUAGAACAUCAGCUCUGAAAUCAGGAGGACCCGAGUUAAAAAUUUGACCUCACAAAUCACUUCGUCCCAAUUUCCUCAGCCAAAAAAAAAAAAAAAAAAAAAGAAAAGAAAAAGAAGAUAUGUAAGGAAUUGGCCAUUUGUGUGAAUAAAGCCAUAGACAGAGAUCUUGAGUCGGAUGGGAUCUUAAUUAAAAUUAAAUCCAAGUCCUUCAUUUUUUCAUAUGGAGAAAUUGAGAUCAAGAGAAAGGAAGUUGUCCAAGGUUGCAUCAGCAUUAAUUAAUGUAGUCACUCUGAAUUCAGUUUCUCUUAAGUGUCAGCCCCGUGUAUAUCCUUCCAUUCUCUAUUUGCCUUUUUCUUCUUCCCAAUUGGUUCUAAAUCAUCAACUCUCCCAUUAGCUUGUAAACAAUGCAGCAGUUUAUAGGCAGAGAUCUGGGUCUCAGUCUAGAAAGUCACCCUGGAAAAGUGACCUUCACUCCCUGGCAUUGAUCACUGAAACAAGGUUUGUCUUUGUCCAAAUUCUGGCUGCUCCAACCUGAAGGUGGAGAGAGUGGAACAUAGUUGGGGAAAAAUACCCCUGAUAUCUCCAGAUGGGAUCAUUUCAAAGAUACAAGGAGGUCCUGUAUCUUUCCUGUGGAAAAGCGCCAUUGAAGGCUCAGGCUAUUUUUCAGCCGUCCAAUCCUUUUUUUUUUUUUUCUCCAGGGUUCUUGCACUGGUUGCCAUGGUAGCAGCCAACAGUUGAAGUCGAGCUCCUGAGGAUCUGCAAGGAAAGGAACCUGCUGGAGUUGCCAGCCCCUGCUUCCUCUCUGACUGAUGCCCUUCAAGUCCAGUUGCCAGAAAAGGUCAUGUGAAGAAUCAAGAAAACUGUGAGCUCAAUUGUAACUGCAUUAAAUAUAUUUGGAAUGCUGGAAUGGAAAUGAUUAUCAGGGAAAUAAUCCAAACCGAAUGAAAAUAUAAGGUAAAAAAAAAAGUUAUCUAAUAUAGUAGUGGAUAUGGGAGUCUGAAAGACUAAGAGCAAGACCAAUUGCAACCUCUUUUUCACAACAUAGUUGUAAAAUUUAAUGAUUUGUAAAAUCUUAAAAGUUUCAAAUAUAUGUUUGUUAUUAUUACUAAUUCAGGCAAAUUAGUUCAUAAGCAGACUAUGGGAAAUACAAGUUGCUUUUUAUAAAGGGGCAACUUAAGACUUUCAAUUCAGCUUUUUACACACAUAUCCCAAACGCUUCAAUCAAGUGUUCAAUCAAUCAAGCUUCAAUUCAAGCAAAUUCAAUACAUACUUUCUUCAUUAGGCUUUUGUUUUAAAAGAUGCACAAACUGCCAUUUAAAAACUAUAUAAUUGCCUAGUGUGCCUAUGAAGGCACAGGAUUUACAGUGGACAUAAAAACACAAAAAAUAAAACUCUUCCUGUAUCAGCCCGCAAAGAUUUGGUGGUCUCAACAAAGGGAGGGAAUAAGUCAGCAGAGGGACAAACAGGAAUAUCAUAAGCAUUAUCACCUUAGAAAACAGUGAUAAGCAGGGAAAGAAAAGAUUAAAAAGAGACCGAUUGAUAAAGGAUUGACACUGCAAGUCAUCUGUAGACAAUACCACAAAAACAGCUGAGCUGCUUCAGAGAAGUGGAAGGAUUAAGGUCCUGCAGUGUUUUUGGGAGGGAAGAAAACACAAAGGGGAAAGGCAGCUGAACCAGGUCAAAUAUAAAGAGAUCCAUAUUUGUGAUGAUAAAAUGUUGUUGGGGUUAAGGGGUUGAAUCUGUCAAAGGCAAUGACAAUGAUCCUAACUAUGGGCCCAUGUCAUUCAAUCAGUCUACCAACACUUAUUUAGCACCUCUUGUAUGCCGGGCAAGGCAGCAGGCAAUAGGAAUACUAAGACAACAGCAAAAAGCAGACUGAGAUAAUGAGCACACACACAGAUCAAUAAAAAAGCGCACACAAGGUAACCUUGGCAGCUCCAGAGAUGUCUCAGGGAGACAGUGGAGUCUGAACUGAGUCUGGAAGGAAACCAGGGAUCCCAGGGGCUGGCAAAGAGGAAGGAGAACUCCAAGGCUGUUUGAGAUGACUGGAAAAAUUGGCAGGGCCAGAUCAUGCAAACUAAAAGACCAGAGUGAUUUGUAUCAGGUUCGAGAAGUAAGCCUCAAGUGUCCUCAGUAAGGGAGAGCCUACUUGGGCAGGAGGACAAUGAGGAGCUUAGUCCAGAUAAGAGUGGACGAGGACUGAGUGCCUGAACAAGAGUUGUGGCUGUUGGAGUGUCAAAUAUGUCAAGCCACAAUUUAAUGACAAAUCCUCAGAAAGAGGACAGCCUUAAUCAAAGUUUUAAGAAAGGUCAUCAUUUGUGGAAGCCUGCCUGUUCCUUUCAUGAGCCUAUCUUUUUAGUAACUAAAGGUGCUGAAAAUGAUAGUAAAGACAAUAUUCCGAUACUUACUGACUAUAAAAAACCAUUUCCCUUUGAACUUACAGACUAUAAAAAACCAUUUCCCUUUGAAGUACCUGGCAGAUAAGGUAGCAAACACUGAGGUCCUCUCCCAAACAUUCAAAUCCUAACUCCACCAGGUGGGCUACGUCAGCGCUCACACAGUCAGAACAAGCAGUACAGCGACACAAUCAAGGUCUCUGCCAAGAACUUUAGUCUCAAUUGGCCCAGGACUGCCCGGCACCGCAUGCCCACAACACUGAAGGUGCUACGCCAUGAGCAUGAGGGAAAGGCAAGAUGUGCACCUCAGAACGCACUCUUGGUUCCCUUCCAAGCCCAUCCUGGACUGAUGAGCCACAGUCGAACAUACUGUACCUUGACUCCAACACGGUGAUGUCACCGGUCUUCCGAGUAUGAGAGAUGGACAAUAAAAGACAUUUAAUAAACUAUCUUUUCUAAUGCUGUUUCCCCUAUCUGUAUAAAAAUUAUACAGGCUUCUUUGAAAGAUUUAACAGUGACAGCUUUGUCCAACCUUUGAUUAGUGAUAUCAAAGGAAGCAUGAAACAGACAGCUGUGCACUUGCUAGAGCAGAUCAGCACUGUCAAGGAGAGCAGACUCUGGUGGUGUGCAGAGGAGGUUCCCCAGAUGUGGUUGACCAGAGAUGAUAUGGAGCUGAGUAGAAUUUCUAUAUCUUUAUGCAGAACCUAAUUGAGAUCUGUACGCUCUCAAAAAAGUGAGCCUAAUUCUCCACAUAGGAAAAAGUAAAUCAAAGGAAAACAAUGUCUACAAUAAGGAUGCACUACUUGUCUAAGAAUACAUUUAAGAUAACAAAAUCCAAAAAAAAAAAAAAAAAGAAUACAUUUAGACAGAUUCUAUAAAAUGACAAUGAGCUGAUCACAGAACUUAAGAGCAGGCUAGAUUACUUUUGGAAAACUGGGCAGAUUUUAAUAAUCUCAGGUUUUCCCUGAAAAAAAUCUUACCUUUUAAAUAUUAAUAUAUAAUCAUUUCAUGCAGAAAUUAAAUAAAUAUAAAAAGCCCAGAAAGUGUCUUAGUCAGCAAACAUCUGCCUUAAUAGCCAAAUUUUGAGAGAUGGCUACUAAAGGCAACACCAAGUUACAUAAACUUUAGUUUGUUAAUUAAGGUUAAAGAUUAGUAAAAUCUUAGGAAAAAAAAUGUCAGAUAAUUAUUUUGUCUCAUAAAACAAGAAUCAACAGAAAGUAAAACUUGUAUAAAGAAAGAUGUCAACAUCACCCCAAGGAAAAUUGAAAGAAUACAAAUAAAAAAUCGAAAUAAUCUGCAAAAAAUUAAUACAACAAACAAAUUUAUCCAUCAAGGACACUAGGUUUGCCCUACUUGGACCUCUAAGUUAAAGUUAAAGAAUGAGAAAUGGCAUUAAUGAGAAAAAAGAAAAAGGAAAAGCAGUCCCAUUGGGACAACUUUGUAAUUAUUAGAGGAUAUUCAUGGAGAUGAUAUAAACUUAUAUAAAGGGAUGUUGAGUGGUAAUUGAUUUAUAAGGUACUUAAAAGAUGGGAAAAUAUUGAAGGUAUGAAAAAAUCUCACUAUGAUAAAAGGUAUUGGUAGGGAACAAGGGGUUUUUCAAAAAAUGUUAUCUGACAACGGAACACAUCGCAAUCAACUGAAAUUUGUAGACAAGAUCCUAUUAACAAACAAUAAUACUGCUUAUUAUGAAAAAAACAUUUGACUCAUUAAAGCAAAAUGCUGUCUUAAGGUGCCUCCCAUCUAAGUAUCAUAAAUCACUCCUUAGAAGACAAUGGGAUAUAAAUAGUUUUGUUUAAUGCCACUCUGAUAAUAUGCAUCCAGUGAGGAGAUUUGAAAGAAUGACAUUUGCCUGUUUGUGGCAGCCCUGUUUGUAAUGGCUAGAAGCUGGAAAAUCAAAGGAUGUCCAUCAAUUGGAGAAUGGUUGAGUAAAUUGUGGUAUAUGAAUGUUAUGGAAUAUUAUUGUUCUGUAAGGAAUGACCAGCAGGAUGAAUAGAGAGAGGACUGGCGAGACUUACAUGAACUGAUGCUGAGUGAAAUGAGCAGAACCAGGAGAUCAUUAUAUACCUCAACAACGAUACUGUUUGAGGAUGUAUUCUGAUGGAAGUGGAUCUCUUUGAUAAAGAGAGCCUUAAUUGAUCAAAGAUGGAAAGAAGCAGCUACACCCAGAGAAAGAACACUGGGAAAUGAAUAUAAACUGCUUGCAUUUUUGUUUUUCUUCCCGGGUUAUUUAUACCUUCUGAAUUCAAUUCUCCCUGUGCAACAAGAAAACUGUUCGGUUCUGCACACAUAUAUUGUAUCCAGGAUAUACUAUAACCUAUUCAACAUGUAAAGGACUGCUUGCCAUCUGGGGGAAGGGGUGGAGGGAGGGAGGGGAAAAAUUGGAACAGAAGUGAAUGCAAGGGAUAAUGCUGUAAAAAAUUACCCUGGCAUGCGUUCUAUCAAUAAAAAAAUAUUAAAAUAAAAAAAUUAAAAAAAAAAAAAAAAAGAA